Molecule: long non-coding RNA, 843 nt
Organism: Girardinichthys multiradiatus
Lineage: Eukaryota; Metazoa; Chordata; Actinopteri; Cyprinodontiformes; Goodeidae
Exons: 5
Source: RefSeq, a predicted model, not a curated record
CAGAGAUAUACACCAAUACAAAAACCUCAGAACAAAAACCUGAAAGAAAUCCAUCAUUAUGCAAAGAACAAAUUGAUGAAAUCCAACAUGUCUUUUUGGGAUAUGAGGUAGAAACCCUGUUUAACAAUUUUAAUGAGCUUCUUGUUUUUGUUGAAGCAGUCAGUGAAGCUGUAACACUGUGAUUCGGGUUUAGACGUCUGGGGUAAAGGAACCACAGUUACUGUUAAAUCAGAAGGUCCAGAUGUGACUCCAACCCUCUACGUCCUGAAUCCCCAGAAACCCGGCAACACCCUGAACAAAGCGGAUCAGCUGAAUUCAGAUGUCUGUCUGGUCACAGAUUUCCAUCCGAAGGUGGAUGACGUGGUUCCAAAGGUGACAGGUGGUCCGGUCAGUGUGACCACUGAUGAUGCUGUUUCCUCAAAGAAUAACAAAUACAAUGCAGCAUUGAGAAACAAAACCAUCCACUCCUGUGGGAUGAACGGGAUGUUCAGUGAUGAAGCAGAUGAUGCAUGUGGGAACAUUUAUCCAGAAAAAGCCAAGCUGAACUUCUACCUGCUGCUGAUGAACGGAGUCCGAGUGGUGUUCACCAAAGCUCUGGCCUUCAGCACCAUCCUCACCAUCAGAGGCCUGAUCUUCUGACAAUGAGCCUUAAAGGCCACCAUACAGACAAAUUGUCUACACCUUAAAAAUACUGGAAUACAAUAAAUUUUAAUUAAUUCUCUUCAGUUUAAUAAAAAUGCAAACUAUAAUGAAAAUAAUCACAAAGAAAAUAAUUAAGUUGAAAGUCAAAUAUAGACUAAUGUUAAAACCAUAAACAGAAUCUAAGUAUGCUGAAAUAAUGAU